GAGGGUAUAGCUCAGUGGUAAAGGGUAUGCUUAGUAUGCACGAGGUCCUGGGUUCAAUCCCCAGUACCUCCA
Molecule: transfer RNA, 72 nt
Organism: Camelus ferus (Wild Bactrian camel)
Lineage: Eukaryota; Metazoa; Chordata; Mammalia; Artiodactyla; Camelidae
Rfam family: tRNA
About the family: Transfer RNA (tRNA) molecules are approximately 80 nucleotides in length.
Source: Rfam